AGAACGAACGCUGGCGGCAGGCUUAACACAUGCAAGUCGAACGGUUGUAGCAAUACAGCAGUGGCGCACGGGUGAGUAACGCGUGGGAACAUCCCUUUCAGUUCGGAAUAACAGCGGGAAACUGCUGCUAAUACCGAAUAUUCUCUUCGGAGGAAAGAUUUAUUGCUGAAAGAUUGGCCCGCGUCAGAUUAGCUAGUUGGUGAGGUAAUGGCUCACCAAGGCUCCGAUCUGUAGCUGGUCUGAGAGGACGACCAGCCACACUGGAACUGAGACACGGUCCAGACUCCUACGGGAGGCAGCAGUGGGGAAUAUUGGACAAUGGGCGAAAGCCUGAUCCAGCCAUGCCGCGUGAAUGAUGAAGGCCUUAGGGUUGUAAAGUUCUUUUGCCAGGGAAGAUAAUGACGGUACCUGGAGAAUAAGCACCGGCUAACUUCGUGCCAGCAGCCGC
Molecule: ribosomal RNA, 448 nt
Filed under: uncultured bacterium
Lineage: Bacteria
Description: SSU rRNA
Rfam family: Bacterial small subunit ribosomal RNA
Source: RNAcentral